GUGCAAACUCGAUCACUAGCUCUGCAUGAAGUUGCAGAAGCAAGGGGAACCAGGUUUGCUAAAGUAAUUGUGGUGAUAGAAAUAUAUUAGCCUCAGGAACUACUGGGGUGGCCCAUUCUAUCCUAAUACAGUG
Molecule: small nucleolar RNA, 133 nt
Organism: Dasypus novemcinctus (nine-banded armadillo)
Lineage: Eukaryota; Metazoa; Chordata; Mammalia; Cingulata; Dasypodidae
Source: Ensembl